Nicotiana tabacum (common tobacco) is the source of this 1173-nucleotide long non-coding RNA. RefSeq lists it as uncharacterized. The record is from RefSeq and is a predicted model, not a curated record. NCBI's taxonomy places the organism in Eukaryota, Viridiplantae, Streptophyta, Magnoliopsida, Solanales, Solanaceae.
UAAAAAUCAGGAAUAAACAAAUCUGUAUAAAACAAAAAUUAGGAAUAAGCAAAUCUAAUCCCUAAAAGUCAAAAUCGAUCCAUCCCUAAUUCCUCAUUCCUCACCGCUCACACAAACAAAAAGGAAAAAACCUAGGUCAAUUUUGGUCUCCAUCUUCUUCGAUUUCUCUACCAACGAACUUUUGCGUUUGAAAGUUCUUGCUGCUCUCCGUCUUCGUCGGUGUUACUCCGACUGUCCGAAUACUCCAUUCCGCCAUUGAACUGGGAAUUGAAGUUGCAAUGAACUUGUUGAAAUUUUACAACAAAGUACCAAAAAUAACUUCGGCUUCUCAAAAUCAAUCUAUCAUAGAAGAAAAUACCGAUCAAUCAUAUUUUCCCUCGCAUUCUUCUCUAAGACAAGAAAUUGAUACAAUUUCUCCACAGUCCGAUCCAGCUGAAAGAACUCCAAUAUUGGAGUAUCAUCCAAACCAUCGCGAUGAAAUAAGGAGGGCAUACAUUCAAGGUGAUCCUUACCAACCCCGUUAUCAUGACUUCUCUCAAUCUGACUUUUUUGGAUUUAAGCGUCAUUUUAAUCCUGUAUGGUUGAUGAAUUUAAUUGGUUGGAGUAUAGUGUAAGUACCGAUGCUGCAUAUUGUUUAUCUUGUAAUUUAUUUAAGGGCGAAAGUAUUCAUCAAGGUGGUGGUAAUAUUUUUUCGAGUAAAGGGUUUAGGAAUUGUAUCCUGAUGACUUUGAUGAAUUUAGGAUGAGUGCUCUUGAGAAUUAGCUUGCGAGUUAUAUUAUUGAUGUUCAUGAUUUUGAUGAAAGUUUCUCCGAUCUAAAUGGGCUUUCUGAUCUUUCAGAAAGAUUAGUUAAGACAAAAAAGCAUUCAGUUUAUCCUCUUGUAUUCCUCUAAGUAAAACUUGCGUGCUUCUGCCUGUUGCCACUGUAACCGUUGAAAGAGCUUUCUCAGCAAUGAAGUUUAUCAAAAAUGACUUGCGGAAUCGAAUGGAUGAUGACUUUUUAGGCGGUUGCAUAGUGCCUUAUGUAGAAAGAGAAGUAUUUAGUACUGUUUCUAGUGAGUCUAUUAUAAAAACAUUUCAAGAGAUGAAGCCUCGUCGAGUACAAUUGUAAUAAGUAGAAUCUCUUUUCGACACUUCUUUAUAUUAGUUUGGAUUUAUCCAAUUGUUUGUACUAU